UGGUAUCAGGCCAUUUUCACAGGGGCUGUUGGAGGGUUGACAGCACAGCUCUACUGGACCAGGGAGGGUCCCAGCCAGCAGGGCCUGCCCCUCCGAAACUGUCCCUGUCCCUGUCCCUGAGAGGCCCCACUGAGUGUCAGAUGGCACAUAAGAGAUUUCCUUAUGCGUUGGUGUGAAGGAGAUGAUCAGUUCCAGGAGGCCCCUCCCCCAUGCAGAAGAGAAGAAAAUGGAAGAAACCGGGUUCUCAGAGUGGCCUGCGGAUGUGAAAUUCCCAGAGGUGUGAAACACAGCAGAUCCUUUACAGCACGAUGACAGGACACAGCAUGAGCCUACCUCUGCCAGGUGAGAGGAGCUUUCUGCAACCUGUGAUGGGCUCAAGGAUGCUGACCAUUCAUCCGCCCAUUGGGAUAGCCCAGGCUCUGAGCUCAG
RNAcentral lists this long non-coding RNA (429 nucleotides) under Homo sapiens (human). RNAcentral describes it as "HSALNT0065377". Lineage: Eukaryota; Metazoa; Chordata; Mammalia; Primates; Hominidae. The record is from RNAcentral.